GGGCUUGGGAAGCCUUCCUCAGCAGUGAUCCAAAGGCCUAGGACAGAGGAGAGGGGGUGCAGACAAGAAGGAACAAGGCCUCAGCCUCCCAUUCUUGGCAAAUCUAAACCUGGCAACCAAGAUGAUGAUAUUCUCAUUUCACAGAAAAGUCUACUUUUCUCAGCUGGGGAGCAAGUGUCAGGAGCACUGGGGCCAGACUCCCUCCCCAACCUGGCCCUGCUCAUUUUCCCCCGUUGCCUGAGGACCCUGGGGAUGGAGGAAGAGCAUCAGACCAGGGGCAGGGUCUAUUCUGGGCCAGCACGUGGAGCGGAGGCAGAGCUGGCCUCAGGCCCUUGCCUGAUCCUCCCUCCCCUUAUUCCCUUGGCAGCAGACACAUGACAUAGAAAUCACUGGUUCCACCAAAUACUGCACAGCCCAGAUGCUGCUGGCCUGAUCAGGGCCAAGCUGAGUCACCACUUUAGGAUACGAUUCUUGCUUUUUGGACUAUGAAUGCACCCUCAUCACCCCAUGCUCAACCCCCAACUGAAGACUGAGGUUACAGCAGAUCCGUGGAUAUCACAGGGUGAUGAGGCACUAGGCCACCUGCUGCCUAUUCCCUGGCACUUCAUUCUUCUGAUAAUGGAGUAUGAGAGAGAAUGGGACAUGAGGUGGACCCCGAUCAGGCAUGUCAUAGACAGGAGGGACACAUACUACCACUGGGCAUGGUGCCCUAGAUAAUGACCCAGAGGGAGGUUGUAGGUCUCGACCCUGGGGUCCAAGCUGAUGAGGAAAGGCAAGAAAAAAAGAAGGGGCCAGGCAUGAGCCACGACACCCGGCCCAAAACUGCAAUUUAUAGUGCACUGAGCAGCAAAGAAAAGUGACGAGAGCACCACUUACGAUCUCUGUUCCAACAACUCGACUCUGCUGUUGGAACCCAAAAGCAGACACAGGCACCAUGUAACAGAUGAACCAGGCUACAUUUCAAUAAAACUCCAUGUCUGCACACUGAAAUUAGAAUUUUAGAUAACUUUAAUGUGUCACAAAAUAGCCUCCAUUCGAUUUUUUUUCAUUGUGGUUCACGCCUGUAAUCCUGGCCCUUUGGGAGGCCAAGGCAAGAAGAUGACUUAAACCCAGGAGUUGGAGACGCAGCCUGGGCAACAUCAGGAGACCCUAUCUCUACAAAAAAAAUUUUAAAUUAGCUGAGUGUGGUGGUGCGCACCUGUAGUCCCUACCCUUUGGGAGGCUGAGGCAGGAGGAUCAUUUGAGGCCAGGAGCUCACUGCACUCCAGCCUGGACAACAGAGGGAGACCAUAUCUUGGAAAAAGAGAGAGAGAGAGAGAAAAAGAGAGAUGGAGGGAGAAGGAG
RNAcentral lists this long non-coding RNA (1344 nucleotides) under Homo sapiens (human). Its description in RNAcentral is "HSALNT0232683". Lineage: Eukaryota; Metazoa; Chordata; Mammalia; Primates; Hominidae. The record is from RNAcentral.